This 557-nucleotide non-coding RNA is filed under the name Pongo abelii (Sumatran orangutan). The record is from RNAcentral. Lineage: Eukaryota; Metazoa; Chordata; Mammalia; Primates; Hominidae.
ACCACAGCAGCCGGGUAUGGGGGCAGGGCUGGGUGUUCUGAGACCUUCAGAAGCCUGGUCAUGGAGAGCCUGCCCAGGGACCCCCCUGCCUCGCCCCCCAGGCCCCAUGGCGGCAGAGACUCACAGGCAAAGAACUGCCAGGGCUGGUAGGUGCGGCCGAAGUCCAUGGACCGCUCCAGCACCCAGAGGUCCGGCCGGGGUGAGUUGGCAAACUUGAUGAGGACGUAGGCCACAUGGAAGACCUGCGGGUCGAGAGGGUGUCAGGGGAGCCAGGGGUGCCUGGAUUCCCAUGCUCCCAGGGGCCUGGCUCAUUUUCUGCCCCUCAGCAGGUGCACCUGGGAACAGCUGGGUGCUGUUGGCCAGGUAGGCCUGGGAGCCUAGGGCCCCAAGGGGGAGAGCAGGGUCCCCCAGAGCUGCACGAGACCUACAGUCACCCUACUGGACUGAGCCAGACUGCUGUGGGGUCCCCCAUGAAAAGACCACAGACCCCUCAUAGCUUCAGCCCUUAGGGGCACCAGCUGCCCAGACUCCAGACAGGGGCCCUGGACAGCUGUCCU